RNAcentral lists this ribosomal RNA (979 nucleotides) under human gut metagenome. RNAcentral's name for it is "bacterial LSU rRNA". It matches the Rfam family "Bacterial large subunit ribosomal RNA", at positions 1945 to 2925 of the family's 2925-position model. The record is from RNAcentral.
ACGGUCCUAAGGUAGCGAAAUUCCUUGUCGGGUAAGUUCCGACCCGCACGAAAGGCGUAACGAUUUGGGCACUGUCUCAACGAGGGGCCCGGUGAAAUUGAAAUACCUGUGAAGAUGCAGGUUACCCGCGACUGGACAGAAAGACCCCAUGGAGCUUUACUGCAGCUUGAGACGGAAUCUCGGAAGUAGACGCACAGGAUAGGUGGGAGGCUACGAAACAUACACUUAGGUGGAUGUGGAGCCGCUGUUGGGAUACCACCCUUCUAGUUCUGGGAUUCUAACGCGAGGAGUAACGACCCUGCGGACAAUCUCAGGCAGGCGGUUUGACUGGGGCGGUCGCCUCCGAAAGAGUAACGGAGGCGCCCAAAGGUUCCCUCAGGCCGGACAGAAACCGGCCGACGAGUGCAAAGGCAGAAGGGAGCUUGACUGCGAGACCUACAAGUCGAGCAGAGACGAAAGUCGGGCUUAGUGAUCCGGUGGCCCUGCGUGGAAAGGCCAUCGCUCAACGGAUAAAAGCUACCCUGGGGAUAACAGGCUAAUCUCUCCCAAGAGUUCAUAUCGACGGGGAGGUUUGGCACCUCGAUGUCGGCUCAUCACAUCCUGGGGCUGAAGUCGGUCCCAAGGGUUGGGCUGUUCGCCCAUUAAAGUGGUACGUGAGCUGGGUUCAGAACGUCGUGAGACAGUUCGGUCCCUAUCCAUCGCGGGCGCAAGAAACUUGAAGGGGGCUGCUCCUAGUACGAGAGGACCGGAGUGGACGAACCGCUGGUGUACCAAUUAUCCCGCCAGGGGUACAGUUGGGUAGCUACGUUCGGAAAGGAUAAACGCUGAAAGCAUCUAAGCGUGAAACCAGCCUUAAGAUGAGAUCUCUCAUAGAGCAAUCUAGUAAGACACCUUAAAGAAGAUGAGGUUGAUAGGUCGGGAGUGUAAGUACAGCAAUGUAUUGAGCGGACCGAUACUAAUAUGUCGAGGGCUUGACUUA